GCUCCGCGUUCUCCAUUUUGGGCCACCCAUGGGGGGGGGGUCUCCGUAGAGGCCCCGAGGGAGAGUUGGGCGAGGAAGGAAGAGAAAAUCUUCAGCGAGGGUAGUCGAAAAGAAGAGCCCUGCGGUAGAAAGCCACUCUAGGAGUAGGAGUGUAUUGGACCUUUGACCGCCAAGAGCUCUUUACUCGGGGGAGAAAAACUCGAGGAGGGCCUAUCCCCGCCAAAGCGCCGCUUUUUCCUUGGACAGGAAGAAGUGACCUAUUGCAAUGUCUCCAUUGCUGUUAUAGAAGUUCGUAGAUUCAUAAAAUAGUGUUUGCUUAAGAA
This 323-nucleotide long non-coding RNA is filed under the name Pongo abelii (Sumatran orangutan). RNAcentral describes it as "lincRNA". Lineage: Eukaryota; Metazoa; Chordata; Mammalia; Primates; Hominidae. The record is from RNAcentral.